This is a long non-coding RNA of Balaenoptera ricei (Rice's whale), 530 nucleotides long. RefSeq lists it as uncharacterized. The record is from RefSeq and is a predicted model, not a curated record. The transcript has 3 exons. Lineage: Eukaryota; Metazoa; Chordata; Mammalia; Artiodactyla; Balaenopteridae.
UUCCCUGAAUGACGCUUAAUAAACAGCACUCUACUUUGAAACCAGUCCCUACAACCUCUAAAAAUCUGGUUAUUCAGAAAAAAAGAAAUUACACAGUGAAGUAGAAACAUCCAAGCAUAAGAUGAUCUAGAUUCAACUCAGGAGUUGAAGUCUGAAGAAGUUCCAUUCUACUCCUAGUUUUACGCGUUGCUGGAAAAACUCCUGAGGGGAAGGAAGCAGGAGAGGCUGAUGAAAUGGACCAGGCAGAACUGGCGGACUCGGAUCCAAAUCAGGAAAGAUGGCGCCAUGACAAUGGAGAAGGAUAUGAGGAUGGUGAACGUCAUCCUGGGGUAGGAGUCACUGUCAGACUCUUAAUGGGGCCAGUGAAUAACACUCACUGCUGGUAUUUUGUAUGCAGUAGUGAAUGAGUGAAGGCCGAUAAUCAUAAUAUGCUCACGACUUGUAAUUAUUUUUAAUAUUCAACUAUAAUGUUUUAGAAGUUAAAUGAAUGUCAAAUAUAAAAAUUAUAUUAAAAAUUUUUUUUUAACGUA